RNAcentral lists this ribosomal RNA (305 nucleotides) under uncultured bacterium. Its description in RNAcentral is "bacterial SSU rRNA". It matches the Rfam family "Bacterial small subunit ribosomal RNA", at positions 335 to 637 of the family's 1533-position model. The record is from RNAcentral.
UGUCCUACGGGACGCAGCAGUGAGGAAUAUUGGUCAAUGGGCGCGAGCCUGAACCAGCCAAGUAGCGUGAAGGGUGACUGCCCUACGGGUUGUAAACUUCUUUUCUCAAGGAAUCACGUGAGGCACGUGUGCCUUUUUGUAUGUACUUUAUGAAUAAGGAUCGGCUAACUCCGUGCCAGCAGCCGCGGUAAUGCGGAGGAUCCGAGCGUUAUCCGGAUUUAUUGGGUUUAAAGGGCGCGUCUCUGGGUUGUUAAGUCAGUUGUGAACGUUUGCGGCUCAACCGUAAAAUUGCAAUUGCUACUGGC